AGCCUUCUGUAUCCGUGCUGAGAUUUCGUCACACACCAGGCCACAAGGGCUGAUGAGAUUCCCAAAUGUUAGUGUAUGAAAGGAG
This is a non-coding RNA of Schistosoma rodhaini, 85 nucleotides long. NCBI's taxonomy places the organism in Eukaryota, Metazoa, Platyhelminthes, Trematoda, Strigeidida, Schistosomatidae. The record is from Rfam.